GGAUACUGUAAGUUUGGAUUGAUGAAAGAUGCAGUUGCUUGCAUCAGUAGAAUGAAAAAGUCAAAAAUAUCUCCAGAUGCCUUUACUUAUUCAACAGUAAUUGAUGGGUAUGUAAAGCAAAAUGAUUUGCGCCGAGCAUUAAUGAUACUCCCUCACAUGGUAAAGCGCAACUGUAUGCCAAAUGUGGUAACAUACAGCUCUCUAAUUUAUGGAUUUUGUCAGAAUGGAGAUCUAAUGAGA
This 240-nucleotide unclassified non-coding RNA is filed under the name Hevea brasiliensis (rubber tree). The record is from RNAcentral. Lineage: Eukaryota; Viridiplantae; Streptophyta; Magnoliopsida; Malpighiales; Euphorbiaceae.